This 481-nucleotide ribosomal RNA is filed under the name Hymenoscyphus fraxineus. Its description in RNAcentral is "eukaryotic LSU rRNA". The stretch from base 165 to 318 matches the Rfam family "5.8S ribosomal RNA". The record is from RNAcentral. Lineage: Eukaryota; Fungi; Ascomycota; Leotiomycetes; Helotiales; Helotiaceae.
CAUUACAGAGUUCCUGCCCUCACGGGUAGAAACCCCACCCUUGUGUAUAUUAUAUUGUUGCUUUAGCAGGUCGCCCUCUGGGGCGUCGGCCUCGGCUGACUGUGCCUGCUAGAGGACCCUAAACUUUGAAAUACAGUGUCGUCUGAGUACUAUUUAAUAGUUAAAACUUUCAACAACGGAUCUCUUGGUUCUGGCAUCGAUGAAGAACGCAGCGAAAUGCGAUAAGUAAUGUGAAUUGCAGAAUUCAGUGAAUCAUCGAAUCUUUGAACGCACAUUGCGCCCCUUGGUAUCCCGGGGGGCAUGCCUGUUCGAGCGUCAUUUAGACCAACUCCCGCUCCGGCGGGGUCUUGGGCUGCGCCUUUGGGCGGGCCUUAAAACCAGUGGCGGUGCCCUAAGGCUCUACGCGUAGUAAUUCUUCUCGCGAUAGGGUCCUUGCGGUGUCCUGCCAGCAACCCCCAACUCUCUAGGGUUGACCUCGGAU